This 468-nucleotide ribosomal RNA is filed under the name uncultured bacterium. RNAcentral describes it as "partial 16S ribosomal RNA". It matches the Rfam family "Bacterial small subunit ribosomal RNA", at positions 28 to 507 of the family's 1533-position model. The record is from RNAcentral.
GACGAACGCUGGCGGCGUGCUUAACACAUGCAAGUCGAACGGAAAGGCCCUGCUUUUGUGGGGUGCUCGAGUGGCGAACGGGUGAGUAACACGUGAGUAACCUGCCCUUGACUUUGGGAUAACUUCAGGAAACUGGGGCUACUACCGGAUAGGAGCUCCUGCUGCAUGGUGGGGGUUGGAAAGUUUCGGCGGUCGGGGAUGGACUCGCGGCUUAUCAGCUUGUUGGUGGGGUAGUGGCUUACCAAGGCUUUGACGGGUAGCCGGCCUGAGAGGGUGACCGGCCACAAUGGGACUGAGAUACGGCCCAGACGCCUACGGGAGGCAGCAGUGGGGAAUAUUGCACAAUGGGAGGAAGCCUGAUGCAGCAACGCCGCGUGCGGGAUGACGGCCUUCGGGUUGUAAACCGCUUUCGCCUGCGACGAAGCGUGAGUGACGGUAAUGGGUAAAGAAGCACCGGCUAACUACGUG